AGUAGUCAUAUGCUUGUCUCAAAGACUAAGCCAUGCAUGUCUAAGUAUAAACGCUUCUAUACUGUGAAACUGCGAAUGGCUCAUUAAAUCAGUUAUAGUUUAUUUGAUGGUUCUUUGCUACUUGGAUAACCGUAGUAAUUCUAGAGCUAAUAAAUGCAGAAAGUGGCGACUUCUGGGAGGGACGUAUUUAUUAGAUCCAAAACCAGCGCAGGUGCCUUCGGGUCCUGGUUGCUCGGUGAUUCAUGAUAACUGCUCGAACCGCAUGGCCUCCGCGCCGGCGGUGCUUCAUUCAAAUUUCUGCCCUAUCAACUUUCGAUGGUGCGGUAGUGGCCUACCAUGGUUGCAACGGGUGACGGAGAAUUAGGGUUCGAUUCCGGAGAGGGAGCCUGAGAAACGGCUACCACAUCCAAGGAAGGCAGCAGGCGCGCAAAUUACCCAAUCCCGACUCGGGGAGGUAGUGACAAUAAAUAACAAUGCUGGGCUAUCGUAGUCUGGCAAUUGGAAUGAGUACAAUCUAAAUCCCUUAACGAGGAACAAUUGGAGGGCAAGUCUGGUGCCAGCAGCCGCGGUAAUUCCAGCUCCAAUAGCGUAUAUUAAAGUUGUUGCAGUUAAAAAGCUCGUAGUUGGAUUUCGGGGCGGCCUGGCUGGUCCGUCGCGAGGCGAGCACUGGUCAGCCGCCCUUCCUCUCGAAAGCCCCGACUGCUCUUCGUUGCAGUGGUCGCGUAGUUCGGGACGUUUACUUUGAAAAAAUUAGAGUGUUCAAGGCAGGCUUUCGCCUGAAUACAUUAGCAUGGAAUAAUGGAAGAGGACCUCGGUCCUAUUUUGUUGGUUUCUGGGGCCGAAGUAAUAUUUAAGAGGGACAGUUGGGGGCAUUCGUAUUUAAUUGUCAGAGGCGAAAUUCUCGGAUUUAUGAAAGACGAACAACUGCGAAAGCAUUUGCCAAGGAUGUUUUCAUUAAUCAAGAACGAAAGUUAGGGGUUCGAAGACGAUCAGAUACCGUCGUAGUCCUAAGCAUAAACUAUGCCGACUAGGGAUCGGUGGAUGUUAGCG
RNAcentral lists this ribosomal RNA (1050 nucleotides) under Iotrochota birotulata (green finger sponge). RNAcentral describes it as "SSU rRNA". It matches the Rfam family "Eukaryotic small subunit ribosomal RNA", at positions 19 to 1068 of the family's 1831-position model. Lineage: Eukaryota; Metazoa; Porifera; Demospongiae; Poecilosclerida; Iotrochotidae. The record is from RNAcentral.